GCUUCUCUAGUCCAAUUCUCGUUUGGCAAAUGGAGAAACUGAGUCUUGGGGCGGGAAGGAGACCAGGUCACUCUGCAAGCCCAGCUGAGCUGGGACUCCAGCUUCCUCCCUCUCCUGGCUGAACUCUGCCUCUGGGCUUUUUGCCAGCAGCCAACGCUCAGGCCAAGCAGGACACAUGCGCCAUCUUAGUGCCGGCUCCCAGGCAGAGGCUGGCACACUCCUUUCUUAACCUAGCGUGGUGGGUUUCAGCAGCCCAGGUAGACACCUGGCGAAACCCAAUCUCAGAGAGGGCAAGAGAUUUGCCUCAAGAGGUAAUGGGUGGCCAUCACUCCCAAUGAGCAGAGCCUCGUCCAAAACGAGCCAUCCAGCAAUCGGGAGGAAGAAGGCGGGGUAACGGGGAGGUGGGAGAAUUACGCCUCAGUAUACAACGAACAAUGCAUUCGGGUGGGUUCAAGAGCACCCGGAACUGGCCAGGCGCCACGGAAAAGUCGGGGGAAGCAAAGACCAUCUCUGCAAAACCCAAAGCCAACUGGCCUUCGCCUAUGAUAGACGUGGAACAAUGGCUCGGAGACCUUUGGCCACUUCCUGUCCCACAUCUUGGCACUGGCGUCAAGAAAAGCAGCCCACGUCUUAGGCCUCACAGACCGAAACCGCUCAUCUCCCUGGCCCCACCGGAACCGCCAGUCCCUAGUUUUCAGGUAUGUCACAACCUGUGAUGGAGCAAAGGUUGCUGUGGUGACCAGUAGAACCCUUAUCCCGUAGCCAUAGCAACGAAAUCAGGAGACACACUGAGACAGCCAGGUGAGGAUGCUGGGCCUGCCGCUCUUCACCAGAGACUGUGAGGUGGAGGGGUUGCCAGCCCCCAACCUGAUGGUUUGCUCGCUCCCGGCUGCCUCCCCUGAGUUCACAGAAGGAAGGGAAACUGAAGGCAGGACUCCAUGAUGCUGUCCUUUGUAAGGCCAUCCCGCAGAGAUGUGGGACUUUUGGGUGACACGGCUCUUUCUGAGUCAUCCAUGCUCUGUAAAUCCCCCUUCACUGUGCUGCUAUGAGGAAGCCAAAAUGGCCUGUCAGUCCACCAAGCUGGACUCAGGUGGGGUUCUUUCUUUCUUUCUUUCUUUCUUUCUUUCUUUCUUUCUUUCUUUCUUUCUUCCUUCCUUCCUUCCUUUUUCUUUCUUCCUUCCUUUCUUUCAUUCAUUCAUUCAUUCUUCUUUGUUUGUUUGCUUGAGACAGGGUUUCUCUGUGUAGCCCUGGCUAUCCUGGAACUCACUCUCUGCAGACCAGGCUGGCCUCAAACUCACAGUGAUUUACCUGCCUCCUGAGUGCAGAGAUUAAAGGCGUGCACCGCCUCAUCCAGCUGGGACUCUUUAAAUACCUCGUCGGUGGGCUGUCUUUGUUCCAUAUUCCCAGGAAAAGCAACAUAGCAGCUAUGGCAGGAUCUCCAGCUACCUCUGGCUGAGCUGCUUCAGCGCCCAUGUCUUCUCCACCAUGAUAAAAUGUGGCCUUGAACCUGAGAUCUCACGCCAUCCUCUCUUCCGUUGGGUCCCUCUGCCAUCCAUUUUGUCACAGGUCCUGACAGUAGGUCCCUUGUAUAGCCUCAGCAUCCAGGCACUGCCUAGCCCAUUUCCCACAGCACCUGGCUCUGCCUUCUGACUGGCACCUGGGAGAAUGACAAGACCCGGUUUGUUUCAGUAGCGGCUGUUUCUAAAAUGUCACAUCUCCUCCAGACAGAAGUGAGACCACAGCACCGUCAGACACGUCACUACAACCUCUACAUCAGCAAGGGACAUACAGAGCCACAGAGAGGAAUAGGGGCUUGCUCAAGCCUGCCAGCAAGGGCCAGUGGACACAGACCCCAGGCUCUUCCCACCUAGACAAACAGUCCCCAAAGGAGACUGGCCCAGAAAGACCAGAACGAUUGUAUGUUUAAGGGAUACAUGCAAAAUGGGAAAUUCAUGCCUGAAGAAGUCUCCUAGGGUGGCCAAAUGUUGUGGGUCCUGAGCCCACAGAGCAGCGUGAAUUUCAGAGCCAUAGAUAAUAAUGGCCGCCGGGAAUCAGUGGUCUGUGCCCUGCUGUAGGAUAAAAGGCCAGUCUUUGAGAAGGGUCUGUCUCCGUGAGCCUAGGUCCAGCUCUCACAGUUGCACUUGACAGGUAGGUACAGGUUGUAGUGGUUUGGAUGACAUUGGCCCCCAUCCUAUGUUUCAAUUCUUGGUCCUUAAUUGGCAGGACUGAUUGGUGUGUCACUGGGGGUGUGCUCUGAGGUUUCAAAAGAUCCGUGCCAUUCUCUGUCUCUCUGUGCCUCCUCCUUCUACAUCAAGCUGAGAGCUCUCAGCUGCUCCGGCCCUCCUGUCUUUGCUCUGCCACCCAUCAGAGACUCUAAGCCUCUGAAACUGUAAGCACAAUUAAACACGUUCUUUAUAAACGGCCUUG
Long non-coding RNA from Meriones unguiculatus (Mongolian gerbil), 2427 nucleotides. RefSeq lists it as uncharacterized. The transcript has 3 exons. Lineage: Eukaryota; Metazoa; Chordata; Mammalia; Rodentia; Muridae. The record is from RefSeq and is a predicted model, not a curated record.